GCGGGCAUGAUGUAAUGGUAGCCUGAAAGCUUCCCAAGCUUUACGCCCGGGUUCGAUUCCCGGUGCCCGCUCCA
This 74-nucleotide transfer RNA is filed under the name Caulobacter sp. Its description in RNAcentral is "tRNA-Gly". It matches the Rfam family "tRNA". Rfam says of the family: Transfer RNA (tRNA) molecules are approximately 80 nucleotides in length. Their secondary structure includes four short double-helical elements and three loops (D, anti-codon, and T loops). Lineage: Bacteria; Pseudomonadati; Pseudomonadota; Alphaproteobacteria; Caulobacterales; Caulobacteraceae. The record is from RNAcentral. RNAcentral also lists the same sequence under 3 other names.